Molecule: long non-coding RNA, 372 nt
Filed under: Mytilus galloprovincialis (Mediterranean mussel)
Lineage: Eukaryota; Metazoa; Mollusca; Bivalvia; Mytilida; Mytilidae
Source: RNAcentral
UGAGUGAUCUUGGAAUGUUCAACUUUACUUGGAAACUAUUGGCAAAGUACUGACAGAAUUUCAUGAGAAGCCAGUAUCAUAUUCUAGUCUGCAACCGGAAACUAUGCGUAAAGUGCUGAAACUUAAGAACAACAUUCUACAUGUAUAUGCAAUAUGUGUUGCCACAAUCCACUUAAGGAGCUAAGAUCAACUAUAAAUUGGAACUACAUGUAUAUGCUUUAGUGCUGUCAAAAUCCUUUAAAAAAAUCCAAUCAAAAGGACCUACCUCACCAAUAUAUACAUAGCUACCUGUCCCAAUGAUGAAUACAUAUCAUAUAUAUGAGUCUUAUAAAAAAACAGUGAAGGAGAAUAAAAAUAAUGAAAAUAUAGAGC